This 510-nucleotide ribosomal RNA is filed under the name Triticum aestivum (bread wheat). RNAcentral's name for it is "partial small subunit ribosomal RNA". Lineage: Eukaryota; Viridiplantae; Streptophyta; Magnoliopsida; Poales; Poaceae. The record is from RNAcentral.
AUGAAUGGGCCAGGCCGGAACCACCUGUUCGUCCCUGGGCCGGUGAACAUCCCGGACCAGGUGAUCCGCGCCAUGAGCCGGCAGAACGAGGACUACCGCUCGCCGGCGAUCCCUGCCCUCACCAAGACCCUGCUGGAGGACGUGAAGAAGAUCUUCAAGACCACCACCGGCACCCCCUUCCUCUUCCCCACCACCGGCACCGGCGCCUGGGAGAGCGCGCUCACCAACACGCUCUCCCCGGGGGACCGGAUCGUGUCCUUCUCGCUGGGGCAGUUCAGCCUGCUGUGGAUCGACCAGCAGCAGCGCCUCGGCUUCAGCGUGGACGUGGUGGAGUCCGACUGGGGCUACGGCGCCGACCUCGGCGCCCUCGAGUCCAAGCUCCGCACUGACUCGCAGCACACCAUCAAGGCCAUCUGCAUCGUCCACAACGAGACCGCCACCGGCGUCACCAACGACCUCCACGCCGUCCGCAAGCUCCUCGGUCCGUCGACCGCGCUCCAUCCAAGCUAA